RNA transcript from Haliotis rufescens (red abalone), 1261 nucleotides. RefSeq lists it as uncharacterized. The transcript is spliced from 11 exons. The record is from RefSeq and is a predicted model, not a curated record. NCBI's taxonomy places the organism in Eukaryota, Metazoa, Mollusca, Gastropoda, Lepetellida, Haliotidae.
GGUCAAGAAACAAAUAACCGAUGUCCCCAGAAAUGAAUGAAGUCGUGUUGGAGUAACAGAACUCUAGCUUCUGUGUGUACAUAUUUCCUGCAGCUGUUUCAUAGUUUCACAGAGUGUGCAUAUUACUGUUGUUAAUUAUAACGGGGAAAGUCGCAUGAUGCCGGGAGAACAGACUGUGAAGGCCACCGUAGAGCCUGCUGCUGACAGUGGUGAGCUCCAUCUGAAGAAGACCGUAUUCCUGGCCUACACUGAUGUGACAGCUGCUGCCAGUCGUGCCCUGCUUGGAAUCAAUAUGCGUAAAGAGUACUACAGUCUAGAAGUCCCGGAGAUCGCCAAUUAUAAACCAGCAUGCGUGCGAGACGCGGCCCCGGAACCCACUGAACAAAACUUCCAGUCGAUCCAAGUUCUCAACUGUAAAUAUGAACAGGAUGCUGAGGAGUUCUCUGUGGUAGUUGUCAACACUCACCUGCCCGGUGACAAGUGUCACUAUGUUGCCAGGAAAAUAAUGAACCUCUGCAUAGAAGGUAAAGUUGAGAAGAUGAUACUUCUGACCAGCCUCCAUGUUGACAUAGAACACAACCCAGACCACGCCAUGCUGGAGAAUACAUUCAACACAUCACCAGUGACGUCUCAUCCCCCCAUUCCUGGCCACACGAAGAUCUGCGAUCCAUUCCUCAGUACCAUGAUACAGAUGAUACAGAUAGAGGGGAUGGCAUGCAACUGUCUCAUCACUCCUGGCUACAGGGUCACGUCAGGAAAAGCCAACACCGAGGACGGAACUCACCAGAUGAUCUGUCUGUUCCAACACACACUGGAGGAGCUCACGAACCUCCGCUUUGACAGACAGCUGAGUCUUGAUAUGCUGUAUCGAGAUUCCCCCGACAACGAAGACGACAUGGUUUCCCUGAUGUAUGUCUGAAUGACAUUACCUUGAGCUUUUCAUGUCAUGGGAUCUAUUCAGAUGAUGAUGAUGAUGAUGAUGAUGACAUUUGUGUGGUCAACAACUGAUGACAUGUGGAUCCUGUGUUUCCAAGUACAGCACAUCAUCACUACAGCGUUCCACAAAGCGAUCGUAGCUCUAAGGCAAUCGCAACUCCCAUACUUUACAUAGACUUACGACCAUCGUAGUGCUACGAUCGCUUUGUGGAACGGGGUCUUGUUUGUAUGUUCCUCCAUCACCCGUGACAACAUACAACCACUUCGCAGUGUAGUAGCGACACGUGUGUGUAUUUAGUCAGCUAAUAAAAUGAGUCCACACUGU